This 319-nucleotide ribosomal RNA is filed under the name uncultured eukaryote. RNAcentral describes it as "partial 18S ribosomal RNA". It matches the Rfam family "Eukaryotic small subunit ribosomal RNA", at positions 1470 to 1796 of the family's 1831-position model. The record is from RNAcentral.
CCCUUAGAUGUUCUGGGCAGCACGCGCGCUACAAUGGUCUUCGCAAACGGAUGCAUUCUCGAAGGAGAAUGCCAAUCUUGGAAUCUAUGCCUUGGUCGGGACAGUUGCUUGCAAUUUUUCGACUCGAACCAGGAAUUCCUUGUAAUCGUGAUUCAUCACAUCACGAUGAAUACGUCCCUGCCCUUUGUACACACCGCCCGUCGCUCCUACCGAUCGAAGAGUUAGGUGAAUUGUUUUGAUCGAUAAGAUUUGACUAUGGUCGACUCUCGUUGUGAAAUUCUGUGAAUCUGACUGUUUAGAGGAAGGAAAAGUCGUAACA